RNAcentral lists this non-coding RNA (30 nucleotides) under Rattus norvegicus (Norway rat). Lineage: Eukaryota; Metazoa; Chordata; Mammalia; Rodentia; Muridae. The record is from RNAcentral.
AUCUGAGGAACUUGACUUUAGUGACUCAUG